RNAcentral lists this ribosomal RNA (469 nucleotides) under uncultured bacterium. RNAcentral describes it as "partial 16S ribosomal RNA". It matches the Rfam family "Bacterial small subunit ribosomal RNA", at positions 28 to 507 of the family's 1533-position model. The record is from RNAcentral.
GACGAACGCUGGCGGCGUGCUUAACACAUGCAAGUCGAACGCUGAGGCCCUAGCUUGCUGGUGUGGUUGAGUGGCGAACGGGUGAGUAAUACGUGAGUAACCUGCCCUUGACUCUGGGAUAACUUCAGGAAACUGGGGCUAAUACUGGAUACUACAUGUCGCCGCAUGGUGGGGUGUGGAAAGGGUUUGCUGUUUGGGGUUGGGCUGGGGCCCUUUCGGCUGUUUGUUGGGGAAGUGGCUCCCAAGGGGAUGGCGGGUAGGCCGGCUGGGAGGGUGGACGGGCAACAUUGGGAUUGGACACGGCCCAGACUUCCAAGGGGGGCAGGAGGGGGGAAAAUUGCACAAUGGGCCAGAGCCUGAUGGAACGACGGCGGGGGGGGGAUGACGGGCCUCGGGUUGGAAACCUGUUUCAGCAGGGAAGAAGGCACAAGUGACGGUAACGGCAGAAGAAGCGCCGGCUAACUACGUG